UUUUGUCAUCUAUUUUCUUUUCUCUUCACUGCCCAUAUUUCUAAACGAUUUAAGCUCUUAAUUAACCGCUAUAAGUGGGAGAUUCCACUUAAAGCACUUGGCUUCAUACGACCUCAUAAGGCUCAGACCAUAUCAAUCAAUUUAUUAUAUAAGUAUCAUAUUACCAUCCAAAGAAAGGAAUGAAAUAUUCACCUGUUUAAGUUCUUUUUUGGUUGCUUGCUAAAAAAAAAAGAAACUAGAUAUUAUGCAAGUAGAAACUUCGCAAUCCAAUUUUGUUCCAUCCAUUUUACCCAUUUCCCAAAUAUUAAUAUAUAAACUAAUUUCAUGUGUAAAAAAAUGAUACGCUUAGUGCAUAGACCACAUAUUCCAAGAAAUUAAAAAUUUCUAUAAAUAUGACUUACAAAACAUGCCUGGAUGUCAGAAAAAUGGAAGCAGUGCUAAUGAACCUUGGCUGAACCGAGAACUGUGAUAUCACCAAAAGAAACCAGCUACAGGGUAACUCCGAAGAUUUUGCACAGUAAUGGCUAGUGAAGUGGGAUUCAGGAAUUGAUGGAAGGAUAUUAAUCUCUGAGGAAUCUUCCUUCACUACCAAACAACCCUUAGUUCCCCACAGCAGCAGCGAUGCAUGAAAGUAUCAAAGGCGUUCCAAAUCCACACACAUAUGACAGAGAGUACAAGACUGAUCUAAACUAUGAUAUUGAAAUUAUUUGUAGUAAGCACAGAUUCUGCACCAUAUACCUUAAAUCAGUGUGUAAAUGAUCAAGAUGAGAGUGCGUCAUUAAGCUCCAUUUUGAAUAUUGAAUAUUCUCUCUCAAACAAAAGAAAUUCCUGCAAUUGUUGCUGACUAAAUAAAUGGAGGAAUCCAGUUUCCGGGCAAGCAACAAGUUCGAUCAACUCAUCAUGGUUUUCUGGUGGAUUGCCCGACUCCAUUAGUGAAACCGAAACCUGCAUACAUCGAAGAAUGACUUCAGGUAUACAACACCUACGACAAAGACCCUGUACAAUAUAUGUUGCUGGCCCUUCCAAAGAACCCUCUGCACUUGAAUACCAAGCAUCUAAUCUGGAUAUUUCCAUUGUAACUCCAACUUGAAACCGAGCAAGCUCCCCUUUGAAUCCAGCCGCCAUGACAGUACCAAGAAUACCACCAUCAUUAGAUUGGUGUAACCCAAGUCCAUCACCCUCCACAGCCAAACAGCGAAGAACAACCUCAAUGCAGUAAUUGUCCCUUGUCGAAAUGGCAACGUUCACCAUUAAUUGGCGGUGCAACACAAUUUCCUCGCUUACUGAAGAGUAGAGGGCACUCAUUAAUGCAGUACAAAUGGUGGCAUCUGGACACAUACAUUCACCAGAAGGCAGACAGAGCAUAGCAGUUGCAUGCAGUUCAAGAAAUACAGGUGCCGUUGAUUCAUAUGCAUGAUCUUCAACAGAAGCCAACCAAGGGUUUUCUUUCUUUAACACCAACGACAAAGACAAAUUCAAUGUUUCCUUGGCUGCUGUAAUGGCUCUUUGUUUUUCCUCCACUGAGAGUUCAACGGGAGGAACCUCUCCAUUCUCUAAUUCAAUUUUGAGCCAGUUGCGAUAUGUUGCAUCACAGGAGUAGUACUCGCUCCAGUCUUGAAACUCUUUCAGAUUCUCGGAAACAUAAUCCUCAAGGGUAUCAGGUAUUUCUGAAAGCUGCUUCAACGGCUCAGCAAGUAAACUAAGCAAUGCAUGUGCACCUAUUGGCAUUGCUGGCACUCUCCACAUAGAAAUCAGAGCAAAUUCUCUGAACAGGAUGUUGCUGUGCACUAAUGCCUGCAGAAGAAGUUUGACACUGACAUCCUUAACAUUGGUAAUUGUAGAGGGCGGUGUAAAACAGAGCCAUUGGAUCACCAAAGCUUUUUGUAGACUCUGCAAACGGUGCUGCUCUGCAACCUCCGAUGACUUAUCAUAUUUUCCAACUUUGAUUUCUCGAGAUCUUGACAGAACCCUCUCAAUGAUUUCUUCAAAACUGCCUUUUGAAUCAUCCUCCAAAGAAAAUGGCAAGUACUCCAUAGCAGAAAGGAAAAUUUUAUACUUGACAUGCACACUACUAUUUAGCCUUAGUUCCAUCAUGUGCACGAAAAUAUCAAUGCAACGAUGACGUGCAAGCUGAGAAGCAUAAAUCCCAACCAACUCCUCAUGUUGCUUUGAGAAAAGAAACAUCACAUACAUAUGUAGAAUAAGGUCACCAACAUUCAUAAGCUUCUCUCUAAAAGAAUCCUUCAUUUCCUCAGCAAGUAAAUACCUAAGAACAAGCACUAGGUGAGCACCAAAUCGAAUCAUUUGAGGAUCACCAUGAGGCCUAAAGACAUUUUGAUCAUCUUCUGAAGGUGCUAUCCAUGACCAGAUCAUGUCCAACAGGUGUGGUAUGUUACCCAACAUAAGAUCCAUCUCAAUUUGCCGUUGAUGCUCUUUGCACCCUCGAGUAACAGCUUCAUUAACCAUUUCACCUGAGUGGAGUUUCUGUAGAAGAGCAGACAGGUUUCGUGGUUGCUGGUUCAGAACUUGGAGUGGCCAAUUUUCUGGUCCCAUGGAAGACUGAGACAUACCAUCUAUUAGUUCAGGACUUCCAUCAAUACCAUCUCCAUAGCUUUUAAGCUGCUCUAUUCUCCCAGGUUGUGAACGAGCUAGCUCCAAAUCUACCUGAACAUCAAGCCAAGACUUUGCCAUUGCCCAGCAUGCUGACUCCCAGUCCGUGCAAAUUGGAAGCAUGCGUUUAAGAUCACUGCAUUGUACUGCAUAUACAGCAACUUCAUAUUUUCCACCAUUUUGCUCUGCAAUUUUCUCUGAUGCACAAUAGGAAGCCCAUUUCCAAAGGCGCCAUUGAUGACCAAUGCCACUUUCCAAUUCAAUGGCUUGCAGGGUUCUGUUCUUUCCAUUCUUCACCAUGGCUUCAACAGAAGGAACUAGGUCCAGCCCCCCAAAAGGACAUAAAGUUGCAGCUCUCCAAGGCUGUCCAGCAGACCGGCAAAGGUCACAUGCCUCGUCCAGUCUUCCUGCCCUUAAUAGAGUCCAGACAUCUUCCAGAAGAGACUCAUCUUGUUUUUUAUCAUCUGGUAGCUGAUGAGCAUGUUCACGAGUUGGAGCAUCAAAAUCCAAGUGCUGAACAGUAUUAGUACCAAAGGAACCUUUCUUCAAAAGCCGUUGGGUAUGGUGCCAAAUUCCAGAAUUGGGAAGAUAGGUACCAACAUGAGACCCCCGCACCUUGCUUUCCAAAUCAAGGGCUUUAGAGGCUAAUCCUUCCAGCCACUGAACAAUUCGGAGGCAUGACUGUGCUGUAUGAUCAUUCACAACGAACUGGCAAGCCUCUAAAUGUGAUGUUGAUGGUGACACAAUAAGCUCUUCAGGAGGUUCCUCUGUCACUUUCCCAUAUAGGUACCAGAGAAGAGACCAGGUAGCUGCCUCAUCAAGCAGAAGCUGGGCCUUCUGCCUCAUCAAUUUGUCCUCUACAACCCGAUGCCGUAUGUUGGGCCCAUACCUAAUAGACUCUGAAACAUUCCUGCAUGAUUUCUCAAACCUUAAAAUCAAAUCAGGAAUAGGCAUCAAUCCUUGGAUAGAAGAAUCAAGAAGAGAUGCAAAUAGACCAAAAAUUGUCUCUCCGGUAUCCGUCAAUGACUCAUCCUCAAUCUUGCAAGCUUUAAGUGAUUCACUUCCUAGCCAUCGUAUUGAAUCAACACCAAGAUCAACCUCUGAGAUGUCGUGACUAUCCAUGGACAAUCUCCUCUUAAAAGCAGAAUGAGUCCUUGCGGGUGUACCUUCAAAGUGAUCAGUGUCAACACUAUCAGCCUCUUGUUUGAUAUUCUCAAGAAGAAGAGCAGCAUUUGUCGGGCUGUGGAUACUCUGCCCCUCAUACAAUAGCCUGGAUUCCUUAAACUUGGACACUGAAGUGUCUUGAUGCGGUGAUACACUUGAAGUUGAAUGCCUUUUCCCGUAACGGCGAAACUGUUCUCUGGAAGUGAGAUCUUCGGGAUCGAAGUAGCUAGGAGAAGCCUCCAUUUCAACGUCCACUUUGUACCCCCAAAAGAUACCACUGGUGCGCUCCCAAAUUACAGUCCUGAGGAAAAACCCUAAAAUUUCAGUAAUCAGUUGGGUGGAGCUACAACCCCUUGCUCUAGAUGCUUGAGCGCGGGAAUGUGCAUGGAAAAAGGGUUUUGAAGUCGCUAAAACCCUACAGACUAGUGAGCGUCACACAUGGAAUGGAACUCAAUUUUGAGCCAGAAACAGAAACCAGCAACGCAGCCAGCCAACUCGGG
Molecule: unclassified non-coding RNA, 4274 nt
Filed under: Hevea brasiliensis (rubber tree)
Lineage: Eukaryota; Viridiplantae; Streptophyta; Magnoliopsida; Malpighiales; Euphorbiaceae
Source: RNAcentral